This 497-nucleotide ribosomal RNA is filed under the name uncultured bacterium. RNAcentral describes it as "partial 16S ribosomal RNA". It matches the Rfam family "Bacterial small subunit ribosomal RNA", at positions 28 to 507 of the family's 1533-position model. The record is from RNAcentral.
GAUGAACGCUGGCGGCGUGCCUAAUACAUGCAGGUCGAGCGAACGGACGAGAAGCUUGCUUCUCUGAUGUUAGCGGCGGACGGGUGAGUAACACGUGGAUAACCUACCUAUAAGACUGGGAUAACUUCGGGAAACCGGAGCUAAUACCGGAUAAUAUUUUGAACCGCAUGGUUCAAAAGUGAAAGACGGUCUUGCUUUCACUUAUAGAUGGAUCCGCGCUGCAUUAGCUAGUUGGUAAGGUAACGGCUUACCAAGGCAACGAUGCAUAGCCGACCUGAGAGGGUGAUCGGCCACACUGGAACUGAGACACGGUCCAGACUCCUACGGGAGGCAGCAGUAGGGAAUCUUCCGCAAUGGGCGAAAGCCUGACGGAGCAACGCCGCGUGAGUGAUGAAGGUCUUCGGAUCGUAAAACUCUGUUAUUAGGGAAGAACAUAUGUGUAAGUAACUGUGCACAUCUUGACGGUACCUAAUCAGAAAGCCACGGCUAACUACGUG